UGAUGGUGCUUGCACCUGAUUGACGAUGGAUCACCAGUGAGUGGCGGACGGGUGAGUAACACGUAGGUAACCUGCCCCGGAGCGGGGGAUAACAUUUGGAAACAGAUGAUAAUACCGCAUAACAACAAAAGCCGCAUGGCUUUUGUUUGAAAGAUGGCUUUGGCUAUCACUCUGGGAUGGACCUGCGGUGCAUUAGCUAGUUGGUAAGGUAACGGCUUACCAAGGCGAUGAUGCAUAGCCGAGUUGAGAGACUGAUCGGCCACAAUGGAACUGAGACACGGUCCAUACUCCUACGGGAGGCAGCAGUAGGGAAUCUUCCACAAUGGGCGCAAGCCUGAUGGAGCAACACCGCGUGAGUGAAGAAGGGUUUCGGCUCGUAAAGCUCUGUUGUUGGAGAAGAACGUGCGUG
RNAcentral lists this ribosomal RNA (409 nucleotides) under Bifidobacterium longum. RNAcentral describes it as "bacterial SSU rRNA". It matches the Rfam family "Bacterial small subunit ribosomal RNA", at positions 69 to 457 of the family's 1533-position model. The record is from RNAcentral. Lineage: Bacteria; Bacillati; Actinomycetota; Actinomycetes; Bifidobacteriales; Bifidobacteriaceae.